Culex pipiens (northern house mosquito) is the source of this 74-nucleotide non-coding RNA. Lineage: Eukaryota; Metazoa; Arthropoda; Insecta; Diptera; Culicidae. The record is from Rfam.
GCCGGUGUGGAUCAAUCGGAUCGCGCACUGGACUCACAAUCCAGAGGUCGCCGGUUCGAAUCCCGCGGCGGGCG